RNAcentral lists this long non-coding RNA (405 nucleotides) under Callithrix jacchus (white-tufted-ear marmoset). RNAcentral's name for it is "lncRNA (ENSCJAG00000081178.1)". Lineage: Eukaryota; Metazoa; Chordata; Mammalia; Primates; Cebidae. The record is from RNAcentral.
CAGGGAGUCUAUUCCCCUGAGAACUCAAAAGAAAACCCCUAGGAUUGAGAAGUGUUGACGUAAAUUUGGUCGUGGACCCAUCUCUGUGGCCCUGUGGAUAAAAUGGAUGAAAUGUUGUAAUUGGCUUAGCCCACAUCAAUCACCUGCUCCAAUUCUGGAGCCAGAUUGUGACAUCAACUCCUCCAGAGUGAGAAAAUGAGCCACUGUUUUCUUCACUGAGGGGCUUGCGUGAGUGGAGAAGAAAGAAGGCUGAUCAUCCCCUGAUCCCUACACUUCCAGAAAAGUGGAUUCCAUCCUGGCAACUAAAAUGAUGGCAGAAUCCAGACUCUUCAGAACCAGGAGCAGCAAGGCCUCAAGAAGACCCAGAUAUUAGUGCCAUCUUCCUCACUAUCUAUUCAGCCCUGC